GACGAACGCUGGCGGCGUGCCUAAUACAUGCAAGUCGAACGAGAGCGACCGGUGCUUGCACUGGUCAAUCUAGUGGCGAACGGGUGAGUAACACGUGGGUAACCUGCCCAUCAGAGGGGGAUAACAUCCGGAAACGGAUGCUAAAACCGCAUAGGUCUUCGAGCCGCAUGGCUUGAAGAGGAAAAGAGGCGCAAGCUUCUGCUGAUGGAUGGACCCGCGGUGCAUUAGCUAGUUGGUGAGGUAACGGCUCACCAAGGCCGUGAUGCAUAGCCGACCUGAGAGGGUGAUCGGCCACAUUGGGACGGAGACACGGCCCAAACUCCUACGGGAGGCAGCAGUAGGGAAUCUUACGCAAUGGACGCAAGUCUGACGGAGCAACGCCGCGUGAGUGAAGAAGGUUUUCGGAUCGUAAAACUCUGUUGUUAGAGAAGAACAAGUGCUAGAGUAACUGUUAGCGCCUUGACGGUAUCUAACCAGAAAGCCACGGCUAACUACGUG
RNAcentral lists this ribosomal RNA (498 nucleotides) under uncultured bacterium. RNAcentral describes it as "partial 16S ribosomal RNA". It matches the Rfam family "Bacterial small subunit ribosomal RNA", at positions 28 to 507 of the family's 1533-position model. The record is from RNAcentral.